Magnolia sinica is the source of this 338-nucleotide long non-coding RNA. RefSeq lists it as uncharacterized. The record is from RefSeq and is a predicted model, not a curated record. The transcript has 2 exons. NCBI's taxonomy places the organism in Eukaryota, Viridiplantae, Streptophyta, Magnoliopsida, Magnoliales, Magnoliaceae.
AAUCCCCACACAAACAGCUUAAAUCCACAUGAAAACAGCUACCACAGGCACCUGUUUACUAAUGUACCAAAGCAACAGAGGCAUGCAGAAUGAGAACUCAUACCUGAUCACUUACAAGGUACUUUAGUUCUUCUUGUUCCUAAUAAAUGCCAAUGAUGGGGUCCCGUUUGUUAUGUUGCUAAUUUGCCUAUAUGAUCAUCAGUUAGUCAAUUAAAUGACAAUAAUAAAAGAUAAAUGUAGUUAAAUUGGAAAUGACCAAGCAAUGUGAAUACACAGAUCGGUUAGGGUUACACAUGGUUAUAAACAAUACAAAGCUAUGUAUCUUUAAAAGAGAGAGA